CAGCUCUGGUGGGCACUUAAAGGGACCUUUACACUCCGGCCAACUGCUUUGCAACUGAUUCCCAGGCGGCUCCUUCUCGUAUUGGGCGUCAAUCCCUUUUCAGUACGCCCCCCCCCCCAGGCGGUCUGUGGGGGUGAUUUGGGAGGGGGGGGGCGUUUUAUUGUCUUUAUUUUGCCUCGCAGGUAGCAACAUUUUUAAGUCACUAACAUUUUCCUCUGGACUUCUCUGAUUGUCAGCCCCAUCUUUCCAAAGCCCAGUGGAGGACGGUGAAGACAAAGUUGCUCUGAACGAGGCAGUUUUCUGAGAUCUUUGCUCUUACCGUCUCUAUUCUGAAAUCAUAAUAGAGAUCGCAACGGAGCGGGGCUGGGGGGGGGAGAGUCAACGCGCCUGCAGGAUUUAAAAGAGACAAAAAUCCAAGUAGCAGCAGGUUUAAGUUCCCGGGCGACUCGCGUCUCGCCCGAGAAAAACAGCUGUUUGCUGGCUCUGAACGCCGCCGGGGCUGUUUGUACACAACUAUGAAAAAGGGGACAGGCGGCUCGCCCUGGAGUGCGAAUCUAAUUUGAAAUGUAGCAGGAGUGAAGCUCGCCCACUUAAAAACCCAGUUUCUGAUUUCUUUUGAAGAUAGACAGGAACAUGGGCAGGAUGUUUAUACAGCGAAAUGUAAACAUCUUCUCAGGGGUUCUUUAAUAAAAAGAAAUCAGAAAGAAAAGUCCCUGGUAGUUCGCAUAGAGCCCCUCACUGCGCCAUAUAAAAUAGCGCCCGUCGCCUGAUUUGCUGCCGGGUUAGACUUUUGUUGUUGUUUGUUGUUGUUGUUGUGAUAUAAAUAUGUGUUGAUUUUUUCAGCUAUGCCCAGACUUUGAUCCUCAGAAGUAAUGGAUCUCUCUCUCUCUUUCUCUCUCUCUCUCUCACACAACACACACACACACACACACCACAUGGGGGGGCGGGGAGGAAAAGGAGGGCAAAGCCUUCCUCAGACCCCCACCCCCAAAAAGUCUGACCAUCUUUUCCUCAGUAAAGCUGUCACUCACUAAUCAAGAGAUCUGUACAUCAGAGGGGACGUGGCAGCCGGGGAGAGGGCCGGAAAGCCUCCCUGCAUGGAUCACCUCUUCCUUCACUGGAUGGGCGAUCAGACGUGUAAGCUGUGGUACCAGGAUGUGGCCAGCACAGUUUUUGGCCAGCCAUCUUGACCUACUCUGAGGAAUUUUCGUGCAUGGGGCUUUGAAUUUGCAAGCGUGCUGUGUAUAUAAUCUUUCUCUGAAGUUCUUCUACAGUAUAGUAAUAGAGAAAGAAUGAUCGUAUGAUACGCUGCCCAAAGAAUAUUCAAAAUGCACAACUUUUAGCUUCAGCCAAUGGUGGUUAUCAAACGGUAGUUGAACUCCAUAUAUAGGUUUCCCUAUUUUCUCUGUGUAACUGUGGGGCACAAGGGUCAGUUUUAUUUACCAUUACGUGACUCCAGUUUUACCUCAGUGUGGCUCUCCUGGUUUCAGUAGUUCAUACUGGGCUUGAGCUACUGCUGGGAUAGCAAUCUCAUCACCUCAGUGGUGCACAUUUAGGGUGGACCUGUGGAGAUUCUGGAGUACUAACUAGGCCUCCUUUGAUUGCUGGGCAGACCAACCCAGCCUUUUUAAUGCAUUCUCAUCAACUAGGACAGAUCACAAAUAAUGGGUCAUCCCCUCACUAGUGGGAGUGGGAUGGUUGCCCCUUAAUCCACUACACUUCUGUUGGAAUAUCGGUAUAACAAAAUGUUGUAUGUUUCUCUUCCUAACUCCUAGUGUAUAUUGAUUGUAUCAGGCUGAUAAUGAGAUGAGCCUCACUAAUUGUAAUGCUAAGUUGCAACCAUUUUUCUUCUCAGAGAUCUGUGAGUAUGGAGGGCCUGGGGUCACAUAUAUGCACUGACAUCCUCCCUGUUCUCAGUUGUCUGGAGAAACUGCUAGAUUGAGUUUUUGCAAAACAACAUGCAGGAGUGAUAAAGAAACAAUUCAAUAUUUAUUUCUGCUAGGCUCCUAAUAGACCUCUUGUAUGUACUCUGGCAUUUGCUCUCUAUUACACUUUCUUUGUUAGUUUAAUCUUGUUGUACUGAAUGCUUAACUACUUUUUCCUUUCAGUGCCUGUGGAAAUAAACUCCAUGAUUUAAUCAAA
This is a long non-coding RNA of Chrysemys picta bellii (western painted turtle), 2142 nucleotides long. RefSeq lists it as uncharacterized. The record is from RefSeq and is a predicted model, not a curated record. Lineage: Eukaryota; Metazoa; Chordata; Testudines; Emydidae.